RNAcentral lists this long non-coding RNA (265 nucleotides) under Solanum tuberosum (potato). RNAcentral's name for it is "long non-coding RNA (STUB_LNC004662)". The record is from RNAcentral. Lineage: Eukaryota; Viridiplantae; Streptophyta; Magnoliopsida; Solanales; Solanaceae.
GAGGCAUGAGUCCUCGUGUGUGUGCUUGAUAUUGUGAUUGAUUACGUACUUGCUUCAACUGUCACUUGUUCAUGUUGUUGUUUCUUAUCACCUGCUAAGUGCUAUAGUUGACUUUAUACUAUUAUUCAUUGUAUAUUAGUUUCUAUUUUGGGUUGGCCGAUGAUACCUACUCAGUACAUGUUGCCCCGUACUGAGCCCUACUUGUAUUUUUCUUUGUUUUCCUUUUAUGGAGUGCAGGGAGUGUACCAACGAAUUUGACUCGCCU